RNAcentral lists this ribosomal RNA (909 nucleotides) under uncultured bacterium. RNAcentral describes it as "bacterial SSU rRNA". It matches the Rfam family "Bacterial small subunit ribosomal RNA", at positions 21 to 920 of the family's 1533-position model. The record is from RNAcentral.
GGCUCAGGAUGAACGCUAGCUACAGGCUUAACACAUGCAAGUCGAGGGGAAACGACAUCGAAAGCUUGCUUUUGAUGGGCGUCGACCGGCGCACGGGUGAGUAACGCGUAUCCAACCUGCCCACCACUUGGGGAUAACCUUGCGAAAGUAAGACUAAUACCCAAUGAUAUCUCUAGAAGACAUCUGAAGGAGAUUAAAGAUUUAUCGGUGAUGGAUGGGGAUGCGUCUGAUUAGCUUGUUGGCGGGGUAACGGCCCACCAAGGCGACGAUCAGUAGGGGUUCUGAGAGGAAGGUCCCCCACAUUGGAACUGAGACACGGUCCAAACUCCUACGGGAGGCAGCAGUGAGGAAUAUUGGUCAAUGGGCGAGAGCCUGAACCAGCCAAGUAGCGUGCAGGAUGACGGCCCUAUGGGUUGUAAACUGCUUUUAUAAGGGAAUAAAGUGAGCCUCGUGAGGCUUUUUGCAUGUACCUUAUGAAUAAGGACCGGCUAAUUCCGUGCCAGCAGCCGCGGUAAUACGGAAGGUCCGGGCGUUAUCCGGAUUUAUUGGGUUUAAAGGGAGCGUAGGCCGGAGAUUAAGCGUGUUGUGAAAUGUAGACGCUCAACGUCUGCACUGCAGCGCGAACUGGUUUCCUUGAGUACGCACAAAGUGGGCGGAAUUCGUGGUGUAGCGGUGAAAUGCUUAGAUAUCACGAAGAACUCCGAUUGCGAAGGCAGCUCACUGGAGCGCAACUGACGCUGAAGCUCGAAAGUGCGGGUAUCGAACAGGAUUAGAUACCCUGGUAGUCCGCACGGUAAACGAUGGAUGCCCGCUGUUGGUCUGAAUAGGUCAGCGGCCAAGCGAAAGCAUUAAGCAUCCCACCUGGGGAGUACGCCGGCAACGGUGAAACUCAAAGGAAUUGACGGAAGG